RNAcentral lists this transfer RNA (85 nucleotides) under Spirochaetota bacterium. RNAcentral describes it as "Spirochaetes bacterium tRNA-Ser". It matches the Rfam family "tRNA". Rfam says of the family: Transfer RNA (tRNA) molecules are approximately 80 nucleotides in length. Lineage: Bacteria; Pseudomonadati; Spirochaetota. RNAcentral also lists the same sequence under 1 other name. The record is from RNAcentral.
GGAGAGGUGUCCGAGUGGUUUAAGGAGGCGGUCUUGAAAACCGUUGAGCCGAAAGGCUCCGUGGGUUCGAAUCCCACCUUCUCCG